AUAAAGCGGGUGAAAAGCCCGCUCGCCGGAAGACCAAGGGUUCCUGUCCAACGUUAAUCGGGGCAGGGUGAGUCGACCCCUAAGGCGAGGCCGAAAGGCGUAGUCGAUGGGAAACGGGUUAAUAUUCCCGUACUUGGUGUUACUGCGAAGGGGGGACGGAGAAGGCUAUGUUGGCCGGGCGACGGUUGUCCCGGUUUAAGCGUGUAGGUGUGUGUUCCAGGUAAAUCCGGUUCACUUUAACACUGAGGCGUGAUGACGAGGCACUACGGUGCUGAAGCAACAAAUGCCCUGCUUCCAGGAAAAGCCUCUAAGCAUCAGGUAACAUCAAAUCGUACCCCAAACCGACACAGGUGGUCAGGUAGAGAAUACCAAGGCGCUUGAGAGAACUCGGGUGAAGGAACUAGGCAAAAUGGUGCCGUAACUUCGGGAGAAGGCACGCUGACACGUAGGUGAAGUGAUUUACUCAUGGAGCUGAAGUCAGUCGAAGAUACCAGCUGGCUGCAACUGUUUAUUAAAAACACAGCACUGUGCAAACACGAAAGUGGACGUAUACGGUGUGACGCCUGCCCGGUGCCGGAAGGUUAAUUGAUGGGGUCAGCGCAAGCGAAGCUCCUGAUCGAAGCCCCGGUAAACGGCGGCCGUAACUAUAACGGUCCUAAGGUAGCGAAAUUCCUUGUCGGGUAAGUUCCGACCUGCACGAAUGGCGUAAUGAUGGCCAGGCUGUCUCCACCCGAGACUCAGUGAAAUUGAACUCGCUGUGAAGAUGCAGUGUACCCGCGGCAAGACGGAAAGACCCCGUGAACCUUUACUAUAGCUUGACACUGAACAUUGAGCCUUGAUGUGUAGGAUAGGUGGGAGGCUUUGAAGUGUGGACGCCAGUCUGCAUGGAGCCGGCCUUGAAAUACCACCCUUUAAUGUUUGAUGUUCUAACGUGGACCCGUGAUCCGGGUUGCGGACAGUGUCUGGUGGGUAGUUUGACUGGGGCGGUCUCCUCCUAAAGAGUAACGGAGGAGCACGAAGGUUGGCUAAUCCUGGUCGGACAUCAGGAGGUUAGUGCAAUGGCAUAAGCCAGCUUGACUGCGAGCGUGACGGCGCGAGCAGGUGCGAAAGCAGGUCAUAGUGAUCCGGUGGUUCUGAAUGGAAGGGCCAUCGCUCAACGGAUAAAAGGUACUCCGGGGAUAACAGGCUGAUACCGCCCAAGAGUUCAUAUCGACGGCGGUGUUUGGCACCUCGAUGUCGGCUCAUCACAUCCUGGGGCUGAAGUAGGUCCCAAGGGUAUGGCUGUUCGCCAUUUAAAGUGGUACGCGAGCUGGGUUUAGAACGUCGUGAGACAGUUCGGUCCCUAUCUGCCGUGGGCGCUGGAGAACUGAGGGGGGCUGCUCCUAGUACGAGAGGACCGGAGUGGACGCAUCACUGGUGUUCGGGUUGUCAUGCCAAUGGCACUGCCCGGUAGCUAAAUGCGGAAGAGAUAAGUGCUGAAAGCAUCUAAGCACGAAACUUGCCCCGAGAUGAGUUCUCCCUGAGACUUUAGGUCUCCUGAAGGAACGUUGAAGACGACGACGUUGAUAGGCCGGGUGUGUAAGCGCAGCGAUGCGUUGAGCUAACCGGUACUAAUGAACCGUGAGGCUUAACCUUACA
This 1638-nucleotide ribosomal RNA is filed under the name Salmonella enterica. Its description in RNAcentral is "partial 23S ribosomal RNA". It matches the Rfam family "Bacterial large subunit ribosomal RNA", at positions 1312 to 2925 of the family's 2925-position model. Lineage: Bacteria; Pseudomonadati; Pseudomonadota; Gammaproteobacteria; Enterobacterales; Enterobacteriaceae. The record is from RNAcentral.